This 910-nucleotide ribosomal RNA is filed under the name Guignardia gaultheriae. RNAcentral describes it as "LSU rRNA". It matches the Rfam family "Eukaryotic large subunit ribosomal RNA", at positions 38 to 964 of the family's 3401-position model. The record is from RNAcentral. Lineage: Eukaryota; Fungi; Ascomycota; Dothideomycetes; Botryosphaeriales; Phyllostictaceae.
GCAUAUCAAUAAGCGGAGGAAAAGAAACCAACAGGGAUUGCCUUAGUAACGGCGAGUGAAGCGGCAAUAGCUCAAAUUUGAAAGCUGGCGUCUUCGACGUCCGCGUUGUAAUUUGUAGAGGAUGCUUCGGCGAGGACUCCUGCCUAAGUCCCCUGGAACGGGGCGUCACAGAGGGUGAGAAUCCCGUAUGUGGCGGGCGGUCCAAGCCAUGUGAAGCUCCUUCGACGAGUCGAGUUGUUUGGGAAUGCAGCUCUAAAUGGGAGGUAAAUUUCUUCUAAAGCUAAAUAUUGGCCAGAGACCGAUAGCGCACAAGUAGAGUGAUCGAAAGAUGAAAAGCACUUUGGAAAGAGAGUUAAAAAGUACGUGAAAUUGUUGAAAGGGAAGCGCUUGCAACCAGACUCGCUCGCAGUUGCUCAGCCGGCCUCUUGGCCGGUGUACUCUUCUGCGAUCGGGCCAGCAUCAGUUCGGGCGGCUGGAUAAAGGUGUCGGGAAUGUAGCACCCUUCGGGGUGUGUUAUAGCCCGGCGCGGAAUGCGGCCAGCCUGGACUGAGGAUCUCGCUUCGGCAAGGAUGCUGGCGUAAUGGUUGUAAGCGGCCCGUCUUGAAACACGGACCAAGGAGUCUAACAUCUAUGCGAGUGUUUGGGUGUCAAACCCAUGCGCGUAAUGAAAGUGAACGGAGGUGGGAACCCUUCACGGGGUGCACCAUCGACCGAUCCUGAUGUCUUCGGAUGGAUUUGAGUAAGAGCAUAGCUGUUGGGACCCGAAAGAUGGUGAACUAUGCCUGAAUAGGGUGAAGCCAGAGGAAACUCUGGUGGAGGCUCGCAGCGGUUCUGACGUGCAAAUCGAUCGUCAAAUUUGGGUAUAGGGGCGAAAGACUAAUCGAACCAUCUAGUAGCUGGUUCCUGCCGA